This is a non-coding RNA of Drosophila virilis, 265 nucleotides long. NCBI's taxonomy places the organism in Eukaryota, Metazoa, Arthropoda, Insecta, Diptera, Drosophilidae. The record is from RefSeq and is a predicted model, not a curated record.
UUUUGCUUUGCGCACCGCUCAUUUUCAUCAUUCUGUAGCCGAACGUUGCCGCGUCAAGUUACGCUUACGCUAAAUAUUCUUCGUGUACGCAAAAAAAAAAAAAACAACAUAAAGAAUUGUUGUCUGCCUGUGUGUGUGUGUGAGUGUCUGUGCAGCAGCGAAAAUCAAUAACAAAGCGCAAGACGCUAACAAAACAGCAGAUAAAAAAAAAAAAAAAACAAGUUUCGCAGACGGACAUGGCUAUAGCCUGUCAGCUUGUCGCGCU